CAGUAAGCGAGCUCCGCGGUACAGUUAAAAAGCUCCGUGCGACAGUAUGUGAGCUCCGUGGUACAGUUAAAAAAGCUUAACGCGACAGUAUGUGAGCUCCGCAGUACAGUUAAAAAGCUCCGUGCGACAGUAUGUGAGCUCCGUGGUACAGUUAAAAAAGCUUAACGCGACAGUAGGUGAGCUCCGCGGUACAGUUAAAAAAGCUUAACGCGACAGUAUGUGAGCUCCGCAGUACAGUUAAAAAGCUCCGUGCGACAGUAUGUGAGCUCCGCAGUACAGUUAAAAAGCUCUGCGCGACAGUAUGUGAGCUCCGCGGGACAGUUAAAAAGCUCUGCGCGACAGUAUGUGAGCUCCGCGGUACAGUUAAAAAGCUCUGCGCAACAGUAUGUGAGCUCCGCGGUACAGUUAAAAAAGCUUAACGCGACAGUAUGUGAGCUCCGCGGUACAGUUAAAAAAGCUUAACGCGACAGUAGGUGAGCUCCGCGGUACAGUUAAAAAAGCUUAACGCGACAGUAUGUGAGCUCCGCGGUACAGUUAAAAAAGCUUAACGCGACAGUAGGUGAGCUCCGCGGUACAGUUAAAAAAGCUUAACGCGACAGUAUGUGAGCUCCGCAGUACAGUUAAAAAGCUCCGUGCGACAGUAUGUGAGCUCCGCAGUACAGUUAAAAAGCUCUGCGCGACAGUAUGUGAGCUCCGCGGGACAGUUAAAAAGCUCUGCGCGACAGUAUGUGAGCUCCGCGGUACAGUUAAAAAGCUCUGCGCGACAGUAUGUGAGCUCCGCGGUACAGUUAAAAAAGCUUAACGCGACAGUAGGUGAGCUCCGCGGUACAGUUAAAAAAGCUUAACGCGACAGUAUGUGAGCUCCGCGGUACAGUUAAAAAAGCUUAACGCGACAGUAGGUGAGCUCCGCGGUACAGUUAAAAAAGCUUAACGCGACAGUAUGUGAGCUCCGCAGUACAGUUAAAAAGCUCCGUGCGACAGUAUGUGAGCUCCGCAGUACAGUUAAAAAGCUCUGCGCGACAGUAUGUGAGCUCCGCGGGACAGUUAAAAAGCUCUGCGCGACAGUAUGUGAGCUCCGCGGUACAGUUAAAAAGCUCUGCGCGACAGUAUGUGAGCUCCGCGGUACAGUUAAAAAAGCUUAACGCGACAGUAUGUGAGCUCCGCGGUACAGUUAAAAAAGCUUAACGCGACAGUAGGUGAGCUCCGCGGUACAGUUAAAAAAGC
Astyanax mexicanus (Mexican tetra) is the source of this 1224-nucleotide long non-coding RNA. RefSeq lists it as uncharacterized. The transcript has 3 exons. Lineage: Eukaryota; Metazoa; Chordata; Actinopteri; Characiformes; Acestrorhamphidae. The record is from RefSeq and is a predicted model, not a curated record.